This is an RNA transcript of Durio zibethinus, 1751 nucleotides long. It is a transcript of the gene named lipid phosphate phosphatase gamma pseudogene, with no coding region annotated. Lineage: Eukaryota; Viridiplantae; Streptophyta; Magnoliopsida; Malvales; Malvaceae. The record is from RefSeq and is a predicted model, not a curated record.
GUGCGCUCCUUCUUUCCCACGAGUAGCAACUCCGUGUAUGACUGUUUGUUCCUUAGUUGACUGUCUCCCUCUUCCCACCUUUAUCGGCAGUUUCCCGAGAAACAAACACCGAAACACUAGUUUAAGAUCUAGUUCUCCCAAGAAACUAAUCUUAAAAUUAACUUUUCCAAAAACCCAGAUCGAAUCUUCAAUCAAAUUUCCCCCAUGACAACACAUCAUCAUCCAUUAAAAGCCGUGACUUUAACCCAUGUAAGGUAUCAAAGAGGUGACCGACUAGGCCAUUUCUUAGCCUGGGUUUCUUUAGUCCCCGUUUUCAUUUCCCUCGGUGGCUUCGUUUCUCAUUUUAUCUUCCGUAGAGAGCUUCAAGGCAUGUUCUUUGCAUUAGGGCUAUUAAUAUCUCAGUUCAUUAAUGAACUCAUCAAAAAAUCCGUUCAACAAGCCAGGCCUGAAACCUGUGCUCUUUUAGAAAUGUGUGAUUCUCAUGGUUGGCCUUCUAGUCACUCUCAAUAUAUGUUCUUCUUUGCUGUUUAUUACUCCCUUUUGACAUGUAAAGGGAUUGGUGGGAUUUGGAAAGUUAGAACCAAGUGGGCUGCUUUGUUUUUGCCUUGGUCUCUGGCUGUUUUCACUAUGUAUUCCAGGGUUUAUUUGGGUUACCAUACUGUGGCUCAGGUUUUUGCUGGAGCUGCUUUGGGGAUUUUUCUUGGUGGGGUUUGGUUUUGGGUGGUGAAUUCUAAGCUUUUCUGUUAUUUCCCUCUGAUUGAAGAGAGUGCCUUUGGGAGGUUUUUUUAUGUUAAGGAUACUUCUCAUAUAUCAGAUGUGUUGAAGUUUGAAUAUGAUAACGCAAGAGCUGCUAGGAAAGGUAUGGCUGCCAGAAAAGCUAUGGCUUCCAAGAGCAAUUGAUUAAUAGGAACUAAUCAGGGAAGUUAUCAAGGGUGGAACGGGUGGUCAAUGGACCUGGCUAUGUUCAAAGGUACCUAUGGCAUGCUCAUAUGAGAAGUGUGAUUUUUAGAAGGAUGGAGCAAUAAGAACAAUGUGAAAUGAUUAUACUUACUGUGAUGGGCCAUGGUUAGCAGGAUGACAAAACAGAGGAGCUCUAGUCAAUAGUUUCAUUUGGUGCAAUAACUCAAUUAGAACCCAAUUGGAAAGGUGGAACUUUUUAUAUAUUGAGUUACUCUUAAAACACUGCAGCAGGAAAAUGGACUUAUGUUCUGAGAAGAAAUUUCAGGUUGGAAUUUGAUGCAGAAAUACGACAUUGCAGCAUGGUAGCAAAAUGGCUUGUCCAGUUGGUUCUGGUGGUUUGGACACUCUAACUAUGAUGACAUGGAGGUCAGUAUCUUCACCUCAGUGCUUCAAGACUCUGCAUCUAUGCCUAUGGAUGAUUCAAUUAUUAAGUGAAUGCUGAUCACAUCCCACUACUGCAUGAGAAGCCAGAUGAGAGCUUCAGUGUUAAGGAUGCUGUAUUUUAUUUAAAAGAGCAUGCUGCUGUUUCCUUUUUUUUUUCUAGUGGUUGUGCCACAGUGAAAGAACCAUAGUACAGAACAUAGAUCAUUUACAGCCUUAUUGGUUUUUGGUUUGACAGGUGCUAACUUGCAUCUAAUGAAAGAUUUGCAAUAUUUUGUUGUUGACUCUUGAAAUAUGGAGUUUAUUUCUAUCAUCAUUGGAUUUACUUGGUCUAAUUCCAUAGUUUUCUUAUUCAGCUUGGCGUGUUAACAUCUGAAAAUUGUGGUUGGUUGUUACUCAAUUAAACCGCG